Molecule: ribosomal RNA, 401 nt
Filed under: uncultured bacterium
Lineage: Bacteria
Description: bacterial SSU rRNA
Rfam family: Bacterial small subunit ribosomal RNA
Source: RNAcentral
CGGGUUGUAAAGCACUUUCAGUAGGGAGGAAGGUAGUGUAGUUAACACCUGCAUUAUUUGACGUUACCUACAGAAGAAGCACCGGCUAACUCCGUCGCCAGCAGCCGACGGUAAUACGGGAGGGUGCGAGCGUUAAUACGGAAUUACGUGGGACGUAAAGCGCAUGCAGGCGGCCUGUUAAGUCAGAUGUAGAAACGGCCCGGGGACUUAACCGUACGGUAAUUGCUAUUUAGUAAACGUGGCGAGGCUAGAGUCUUGUAGAGGGGGGUAGGAAUUUCAGGUGUAGCGGUGAAAUGCGUAGAGAUCUGAAGGAAUACCAGUGGCGAAGGCGGCCCCCUGGACAAAGACUGACGCUCAGAUGCGAAAGCGUGGGGAGCAAACAGGAUUAGAUACCCUGGUAG